This 497-nucleotide ribosomal RNA is filed under the name uncultured bacterium. RNAcentral describes it as "partial 16S ribosomal RNA". It matches the Rfam family "Bacterial small subunit ribosomal RNA", at positions 28 to 507 of the family's 1533-position model. The record is from RNAcentral.
GACGAACGCUGGCGGCGUGCCUAAUACAUGCAAGUAGAACGCUGAAGAGAGGAGCUUGCUCUUCUUGGAUGAGUUGCGAACGGGUGAGUAACGCGUAGGUAACCUGCCUUGUAGCGGGGGAUAACUAUUGGAAACGAUAGCUAAUACCGCAUAACAAUGGAUGACACAUGUCAUUUAUUUGAAAGGGGCAAUUGCUCCACUACAAGAUGGACCUGCGUUGUAUUAGCUAGUAGGUGAGGUAAUGGCUCACCUAGGCGACGAUACAUAGCCGACCUGAGAGGGUGGUCGGCCACACUGGGACUGGGACCAGGCCCAGACUCCUACGGGAGGCAGCCGUAGGGAAUCUUCGGCAAUGGGGGCAACCCUGACCGAGCAACGCCGCGUGAGUGAAGAAGGUUUUCGGAUCGUAAAGCUCUGUUGUAAGUCAAGAACGGGUGUGAGAGUGGAAAGUUCACACUGUGACGGUAGCUUACCAGAAAGGGACGGCUAACUACGUG